GCCUUCAUGAAGCUGGAAUUGCUAGUAAUGGCAGGUCAGUAUACUGCCGUGAAUACGUUCCCGGGCCUUGUACACACCGCCCGUCACACCAUGAGAGUUGGAAAUACCCGAAGCCUGUGAGCUAACUUAAAGAGGCAGCAGUCGAAGGUAGAGCCAAUGAUUGGGGUGAAGUCGUAACAAGGUAUC
This 186-nucleotide ribosomal RNA is filed under the name uncultured bacterium. RNAcentral's name for it is "partial 16S ribosomal RNA". It matches the Rfam family "Bacterial small subunit ribosomal RNA", at positions 1314 to 1500 of the family's 1533-position model. The record is from RNAcentral.